Daucus carota subsp. sativus is the source of this 862-nucleotide long non-coding RNA. RefSeq lists it as uncharacterized. The transcript is spliced from 4 exons. The record is from RefSeq and is a predicted model, not a curated record. NCBI's taxonomy places the organism in Eukaryota, Viridiplantae, Streptophyta, Magnoliopsida, Apiales, Apiaceae.
GGUUUGUACACAUUUCUCAGCUUUAAUGUUUUACAGCUGUAUACUCUUACAAAACUUUCACCAGAAAGUAUGCCAUACACUCCUGCGAUUUCGGCGAGUAACUCUAUUACCCUCCAUAUCUUGCACAAAUCUGAGCUGCUACACAUAUGUGGCCUAACAUCUGACCCUUAAUUUCAAAUUACCGUCCUUUUAUCCUUGGAUUUGAUUAUAGGGAUUGAUCAUAAUGUUUAUCCUCAUUUUACUCUGAUUUCAUCUCCAUUUUGUCUGCUGCUCAUUUUCUGGGUGGAGGGGGAACAAAGCUUCAUUUUAUAUUUUUUUCCAUCCAUACAAUAUCAAGCUUUUUAUGAAGCCUGUUAAUGAUGGUUUCAAAGGUGAUUCCAAGAAGAGAAGAAAAGAGCCCAUGUUUGAACUAUUACCAAGGGUGCAACUCUUUUGCAUGAAAAGGGUGCGAAGGAAGUCUACGCGUGUUGCACCGCUUGCACGCAUGCUGUUUUCAGGAAAGGAGUUGACUUGACUUGGUUUAUGCUCCUGUUCUCUCACAGAAGUAAAUAAACUGAAUAGAAAAUUGCACGAGGUCUAUAAUUCCUAGGAAGCAUUUGCAUGGUUCAGUGUUACUGCAAUCUCUCUGCAGCACUUUCUGAGAACAUGGAGGUGCAUAACGACAUGUGGAUCUCUGGGUCUUGGCUAAUUGUUUUAUACAUGUAGUGCUCUGCAUUUGAUUGUAAAGCAUCCAUACUAAUUUGUGUUGAGUGAUAAUGCUCAAGCAGUUCAUCUCAAUAUAGUCAAUUAACUUGCUUAAAUUUGCAUACAGUUUCUUGAUCUGAAAUGGAGCAUCUACUGCCUAAUAUUAGCUUCAUAUUCA